This 199-nucleotide long non-coding RNA is filed under the name Elaeis guineensis (African oil palm). RNAcentral describes it as "long non-coding RNA (EGUI_LNC050696)". Lineage: Eukaryota; Viridiplantae; Streptophyta; Magnoliopsida; Arecales; Arecaceae. The record is from RNAcentral.
UUCGAACUCAAUCUUCGUCUUACUACCUCCAUCUUGGAUAAACUUUUUUUCCAAGAAGAUGACAUGAUGGCUCAUAAUCAUAUUAUAAUGCUUAAGAAGAUAGAAAUAGUAUCCCAUAAAUUUCUUAGGAUAUCCUAUAAAAUGAGACCUAAAAGAUCUAGCCUCUAACUUAUCCACUUGCUGUCACUUGAUAUGAGCC